UACGUAGGGUGCGAGCGUUAAUCGGAAUUACUGGGCGUAAAGCGUGCGCAGGCGGUUUUGUAAGCCAGAUGUGAAAUCCCCGGGCUUAACCUGGGAAUGGCAUUUGGGACUGCAAGGCUGGAGUGUGGCAGAGGAAGGUGGAAUUCCACGUGUAGCGGUGAAAUGCGUAGAGAUGUGGAGGAACACCAAUGGCGAAGGCAGCCUUCUGGGCCAACCACUGACGCUCGAUGCACGAAAGCGUGGGGAGCAAACAGG
Molecule: ribosomal RNA, 255 nt
Filed under: uncultured bacterium
Lineage: Bacteria
Description: partial 16S ribosomal RNA
Rfam family: Bacterial small subunit ribosomal RNA
Source: RNAcentral